AUUGAACGCUGGCGGCAGGCUUAACACAUGCAAGUCGAGCGAGCGGCGGACGGGUGAGUAAUGUCUGGGAAACUGCCUGAUGGAGGGGGAUAACUACUGGCAACGGUAGCUAAUACCGCAUACCAUCAGAUGUGCCCAGCUGGGAUUAGCUAGUAGGUGGGGUAAUGGCUCACCUGGGCGACGAUCCCUAGCUGGUCUGAGAGGAUGACCAGCCACACUGGAACUGAGAGACGGUCCAGACUCCUACGGGAGGCAGCAGUGGGGAAUAUUGCACAAUGGGCGCAAGCCUGAUGCAGCCAUGCCGCGUGUGUGAAGAAGGCCUGCGGGUUGUAAAGUACUUUCAGCGAGGAGGCGUUACCCGCAGAAGAAGCACCGGCUAACUCCGUGCCAGCCGCCGCGGUAAUUC
Molecule: ribosomal RNA, 406 nt
Filed under: uncultured bacterium
Lineage: Bacteria
Description: partial 16S ribosomal RNA
Rfam family: Bacterial small subunit ribosomal RNA
Source: RNAcentral